RNAcentral lists this ribosomal RNA (465 nucleotides) under uncultured Klebsiella sp. RNAcentral describes it as "bacterial SSU rRNA". It matches the Rfam family "Bacterial small subunit ribosomal RNA", at positions 338 to 795 of the family's 1533-position model. Lineage: Bacteria; Pseudomonadati; Pseudomonadota; Gammaproteobacteria; Enterobacterales; Enterobacteriaceae. The record is from RNAcentral.
CCUACGGGGGGCAGCAGUGGGGAAUAUUGCACAAUGGGCGCAAGCCUGAUGCAGCCAUGCCGCGUGUGUGAAGAAGGCCUUCGGGUUGUAAAGCACUUUCAGCGGGGAGGAAGGCGUUAAGGUUAAUAACCUUGGCGAUUGACGUUACCCGCAGAAGAAGCACCGGCUAACUCCGUGCCAGCAGCCGCGGUAAUACGGAGGGUGCAAGCGUUAAUCGGAGUUACUGGGCGUAAAGCGCACGCAGGCGGUCUGUCAAGUCGGAUGUGAAAUCCCCGGGCUCAACCUGGGAACUGCAUUCGAAACUGGCAGGCUAGAGUCUUGUAGAGGGGGGUAGAAUUCCAGGUGUAGCGGUGAAAUGCGUAGAGAUCUGGAGGAAUACCGGUGGCGAAGGCGGCCCCCUGGACAAAGACUGACGCUCAGGUGCGAAAGCGUGGGGAGCAAACAGGAUUAGAUACCCCUGUAGUC